AAAUGAAUUGACGGGGGCCCGCACAAGCAGCGGAGCAUGUGGUUUAAUUCGAAGCAACGCGAAAAACCUUACCAAGACUUGACAUCGUAUGACCACUAUGGAAACAUAGAAUCUCUUCGGAGCAUAUAGACAGGUGGUGCAUGGUUGUCGUCAGCUCGUGUCGUGAGAUGUUGGGUUAAGUCCCGCAACGAGCGCAACCCUCAUAAUUAGUUGCCAAUAUUAAGUUAGGAACUCUGAUUAGACUGCCGUGGAUAACACGGAGGAAGGUGGGGAUGACGUCAAAUCAUCAUGCCCCUUACGUCUUGGGCUACACACGUGCUACAAUGGCUAUUACAAAGAGCAGCAAAGCCGCAAGGACAAGCGAAUCUCAAAAAAAUAGUCUCAGUUCGGAUUGUGGGCUGCAACUCGCCCACAUGAAGAAGGAGUUGCUAGUAAUCCCGAAUCAGAACGUCGGGGUGAAUGCGUUCCCGGGCCUUGUACACACCGCCCGU
Molecule: ribosomal RNA, 491 nt
Filed under: uncultured bacterium
Lineage: Bacteria
Description: bacterial SSU rRNA
Rfam family: Bacterial small subunit ribosomal RNA
Source: RNAcentral